This 778-nucleotide ribosomal RNA is filed under the name Bacillus cereus. RNAcentral describes it as "bacterial SSU rRNA". It matches the Rfam family "Bacterial small subunit ribosomal RNA", at positions 38 to 792 of the family's 1533-position model. The record is from RNAcentral. Lineage: Bacteria; Bacillati; Bacillota; Bacilli; Caryophanales; Bacillaceae.
GGGGGGGGGGGGCUAAUACAUGCAAGUCGAGCGAAUGGAUUAAGAGCUUGCUCUUAUGAAGUUAGCGGCGGACGGGUGAGUAACACGUGGGUAACCUGCCCAUAAGACUGGGAUAACUCCGGGAAACCGGGGCUAAUACCGGAUAACAUUUUGAACUGCAUGGUUCGAAAUUGAAAGGCGGCUUCGGCUGUCACUUAUGGAUGGACCCGCGUCGCAUUAGCUAGUUGGUGAGGUAACGGCUCACCAAGGCAACGAUGCGUAGCCGACCUGAGAGGGUGAUCGGCCACACUGGGACUGAGACACGGCCCAGACUCCUACGGGAGGCAGCAGUAGGGAAUCUUCCGCAAUGGACGAAAGUCUGACGGAGCAACGCCGCGUGAGUGAUGAAGGCUUUCGGGUCGUAAAACUCUGUUGUUAGGGAAGAACAAGUGCUAGUUGAAUAAGCUGGCACCUUGACGGUACCUAACCAGAAAGCCACGGCUAACUACGUGCCAGCAGCCGCGGUAAUACGUAGGUGGCAAGCGUUAUCCGGAAUUAUUGGGCGUAAAGCGCGCGCAGGUGGUUUCUUAAGUCUGAUGUGAAAGCCCACGGCUCAACCGUGGAGGGUCAUUGGAAACUGGGAGACUUGAGUGCAGAAGAGGAAAGUGGAAUUCCAUGUGUAGCGGUGAAAUGCGUAGAGAUAUGGAGGAACACCAGUGGCGAAGGCGACUUUCUGGUCUGUAACUGACACUGAGGCGCGAAAGCGUGGGGAGCAAACAGGAUUAGAUACUGGGGGGAA